AAGUCGUAACAAGGUUUCCGUAGGUGAACCUGCGGAAGGAUCAUUACAAGGACCGAGCCCUCGCGGGCCGACCCUUCAACCACUGUGUACCAAACUUUUCGUUGCCUCGGCGGGCCGGAUGGGGCCACCCCACCCCCCCAUCUCAGGGGAGCAGCUCGCCGCAGGGACCUUCAAACAAUUCUGUUCGAUGAACGUCUGAAUACCACCUUCGCGAAUGCGAUAAAAUACAACUUUUGACAAUGGAUCUCUUGGCUCCGGCAUCGAUGAAGAACGCAGCGAAAUGCGAUAGCUAGUGUGAAUUGCAGAUUUCAGUGAAUCAUCGAGUUUUUGAACGCACAUUGCGCCUCUUGGUAUUCCUUGAGGCAUGCCUAUUCGAGCGUCGUUUCGACCCUUCAAGCCACGGCUUGGCGUUGGGGAUCGCCCCUGAGACACGGCGGCGACCCUUGAAUCCAUCGGCGGUGCCGGUGCAGCCCAGAGCGCAGCAGUCAUGCAGCUUGAGGGCAGCCCGAGGCCAGCCGGAUGAACCCCCCCACGAAACAUAACAUCGACCUCGAAUUAGGCAGGGAUACCCGCUGAACUUAA
This 582-nucleotide ribosomal RNA is filed under the name uncultured fungus. RNAcentral's name for it is "eukaryotic LSU rRNA". The stretch from base 229 to 382 matches the Rfam family "5.8S ribosomal RNA". Lineage: Eukaryota; Fungi. The record is from RNAcentral.